Molecule: long non-coding RNA, 1281 nt
Filed under: Papio anubis (olive baboon)
Lineage: Eukaryota; Metazoa; Chordata; Mammalia; Primates; Cercopithecidae
Description: lncRNA (ENSPANG00000050312.1)
Source: RNAcentral
UCUGACUCUAGAGCAGGCCUUUCCUGCCCGCUGUUGCUGUCUCCAGAAGCCUCUCUGAAUCUAAGGGUGGGAACUACUCCUCCUUGCCCUCGAGCCCUCGCCAAAGCCGGGGCUUGGAGCGGCCGUGGGCUCCUCCUCCUUCCCCCAGGCUGGGCUCUUCACGGGCGGGAGCCUGCCUGGCUCGCCUGCCUCGCUCGACCCUGUAGCCCCUCGCACGAAGUAGGUGCCCGUGAUGCCGAAUUAUUUCAGCAGGAGGGCAGGGGUGUUCCCGAUGAAGACAGGAGACCAGGGAGGAGAAGCGACUCCCGGGGCCACCCAUGUGUAGAUCUCGGAGCCAGGCAAGAGCCAGGUCCCUUGGGUCCGGGAGCGCGCUCGGGGCUCCUCCUCGCCCGUGCCCCCCGCGCCCCCUGCGCUCCCCGCGCUCGCGUCUGCGGGGUCGGGAGGAGGGGGCGGCGUCGCCGGGCCGGGGCGGGCACCGAGGCCUGGCGGGCGGGCCUGGAGCGCUUUCGUGCCUGCCAGGGAAAGGCUGGAGAGGAGGCUAGGGGCGGACGCAGGGAGAAAAGAAGCAACGGGGUGUUUUUGCCUUUUGACAUUUUAAAAAGAAGUGCAGAUUCGCUUCCCGGAGCCGGGCUGGCAGCCUGCGCUAUGGUUAGGAACCAACGUGGGGCGCGGGCUGGGGCAGGGGAGGGAGGCGGCCGCAGCGGGGGCCCGGGAGCGCAGGGCGGGCCUGGAAGAGCUCCGCCCCAAGGGGCGCGGCCACCCUGGAGGCGGGCGCACGGCUGCUUCUCAUUCAUUGUCUUGACAAGAGCAUCCUCAGCGGGCGAGUCCCCGGCUCCUCCAGCUCCUUCCUCCUCUUCCUCCUCCUCCUCCACCUCCGGCUUUUGGGGGGUCACUGUCCUCUCUCUGCAGCAGGUGAGGCUGGGCCCAGGAGGCGCGGGUGGACCGGGGCGAGGGCCACCUGUGGGGCCGCGCGCGUGUGGGAGCCGCGGGUUGCGGGGGCGCGCGGCUGUCACCGCGACCCAGCCAGCGCCGGGGCCAGGGAGCGGGCGCAGCAGCCCGUGGGGGGACGCUGCCUGGAGUGGGGGCCGCCGGGGCCCCAGAGCGCUCUGCGGAGGCGAGGGCGAGGGACCACCGCGGCCAAGAUGGAGGUGGGCAGCCGGGGGUCAGCACAGUGUCGAGGGCCCGACUCCCCCCGGAAUUAAGUCUCAGGGAGGGUGGGGACGGGGACAGGGUGGGGUGAGUGGGGCAGCUGCCCUGGGCUUGGAGACAGGAAGGGGUUGA